GGGGCAAGCGGGGACCUG
Molecule: unclassified non-coding RNA, 18 nt
Filed under: Chlamydomonas reinhardtii
Lineage: Eukaryota; Viridiplantae; Chlorophyta; Chlorophyceae; Chlamydomonadales; Chlamydomonadaceae
Description: small RNA Cre_1921
Source: RNAcentral